Non-coding RNA from Phascolarctos cinereus (koala), 249 nucleotides. The record is from RefSeq and is a predicted model, not a curated record. Lineage: Eukaryota; Metazoa; Chordata; Mammalia; Diprotodontia; Phascolarctidae.
GACAUGUUAGUCAGUGACCCCAACAGCUCAGCACAUUUCUACCUAUUGAGAUAGAGUAAAAAUGACUCCUACAGCCCUAAAGUUCAGUUUUAUAACACAGAGGAUGAUGUAAUUGAAACCAAGCCCCCAAAGCCACACUGGUAUGGAGGAUGAAAGUGCAACCAUGGAGGAAAGGCAAACAACAAACAGAGGGGCAUGGAGCAUAUUCCUAGAGAAUAAUGAACAUAAAAUGUCACAAGGCGUACAGGG